This 402-nucleotide ribosomal RNA is filed under the name uncultured bacterium. RNAcentral's name for it is "bacterial SSU rRNA". It matches the Rfam family "Bacterial small subunit ribosomal RNA", at positions 355 to 748 of the family's 1533-position model. The record is from RNAcentral.
UCGAGAAUCUUUCGCAAUGCCCGAAAGGGUGACGAAGCGACGCCGCGUGUGGGAAGAAGGCCUUCGGGUUGUAAACCACUGUCGGGAGUUAGGAAAUGCAGGUGCGUUAAUAGCGCACUUGCUUGACUAAGGCUCCAGAGGAAGCCACGGCUAACUCUGUGCCAGCAGCCGCGGUAAUACAGAGGCGGCAAGCGUUGUUCAGAAUUAUUGGGCGUAAAGAGCACGUAGGCGGCCUUGCAAGUCAGUUGUGAAAGCCUUCCGCUUAACGGAAGAACGGCAUCUGAUACUACAGGGCUUGAGUACGGGAGGGGAGAGUGGAACUUCUGGUGGAGCGGUGAAAUGCGUAGAUAUCAGAAGGAACGCCGGCGGCGAAAGCGACUCUCUGGUCCGAAACUGACGCUG